RNAcentral lists this ribosomal RNA (255 nucleotides) under uncultured bacterium. RNAcentral describes it as "partial 16S ribosomal RNA". It matches the Rfam family "Bacterial small subunit ribosomal RNA", at positions 524 to 776 of the family's 1533-position model. The record is from RNAcentral.
UACAGAGGUCUCAAGCGUUUGUUCGGAUUCAUUGGGCGUAAAGCGUGCGCAGGCGGUUCGUUGUGUCUGCUGUGAAAUCCCCGGGCUUAACCUGGGAAUGGCCAUGGAAACUGGCGAACUGGAGUGCGGCAGAGGGGGGUGGAAUUCCGCGUGUAGCAGUGAAAUGCGUAGAGAUGCGGAGGAACACCGAUGGCGAAGGCAGCCCCCCUGGGCUAGCACUGACGCUCAGGCACGAAAGCGUGGGGAGCAAACAGG